Molecule: ribosomal RNA, 253 nt
Filed under: uncultured bacterium
Lineage: Bacteria
Description: partial 16S ribosomal RNA
Rfam family: Bacterial small subunit ribosomal RNA
Source: RNAcentral
UACGUAGGGGGCAAGCGUUGUCCGGAAUCAUUGGGCGGAAAGGGCGUGUAGGCGGUCCGGUAAGUCCGCUGUGAAAGUCGGGGGCUCAACCCUCGAAUGCCGGUGGAUACUGUCGGGCUAGAGUGCGGAAGAGGCGAGUGGAAUUCCUAGUGUAGCGGUGAAAUGCGCAGAUAUCAGGAGGAACACCUAUUGCGAAGGCAGCUCGCUGGGACGUAACUGACGCUGAGACGCGAAAGCGUGGGGAGCAAACAGG